CGCAUAUAUAUUACUGAGGUAUUACAAAGUAAGAGUCUCUGAAGACGAUGCACGCAGAUUGUGUACGUGUACACGGAGUUAGUGUAAAGUGUACAAUUAUUGGCAACUACUUAUUUAUCGAUCUACCCCCGUACUACACUUAAUUCUCUAUAACCCAAUUUUUCAUCUUGUCCUUAAGUUUUAGUUCAUGGGUCGUAACUCUGUCAUCGGACCAACCGAUUCGCUUGGUUCUAUAGGCAUGUCAACCCACCUGACAUUUUCAAAUGUAUGCUGCGACAUUGAACGUAGAUGGUUGGAGAAUCUACGGUGCGAGACGAACGUAUUGUUCCGCCAUAAUCUAUUGUUUAAUAUAC
Molecule: long non-coding RNA, 353 nt
Organism: Polistes dominula (European paper wasp)
Lineage: Eukaryota; Metazoa; Arthropoda; Insecta; Hymenoptera; Vespidae
Source: RefSeq, a predicted model, not a curated record